CCUCUCCGUUGGUGUCGAUAAACGUCGAGCUUCUCCCGUUCGUCCGUUGACGUCUGGUCGAGUCUUCCCAGUUCAUCCGUCGUCCGUUGAUGUCUGGUCUCCUUCUCCGUUGGUGUCGAUAAACGUCGAGCUUCUCCCUUUCGUCCGAUGACGUCUGGUCGAGUCUUCCCAGUUCAUCCGUCGUCCGUUGAUGUCUGGUUACCUCUCCGUUGGUCUUAGUAAACGUCGAGUUUUUCCUGGUCGUCCCCAG
This 250-nucleotide long non-coding RNA is filed under the name Lathyrus oleraceus (garden pea). RNAcentral describes it as "Pisum sativum (pea) long non-coding RNA (PSAT_LNC005875)". Lineage: Eukaryota; Viridiplantae; Streptophyta; Magnoliopsida; Fabales; Fabaceae. The record is from RNAcentral.